RNAcentral lists this ribosomal RNA (380 nucleotides) under uncultured eukaryote. RNAcentral describes it as "partial 18S ribosomal RNA". It matches the Rfam family "Eukaryotic small subunit ribosomal RNA", at positions 592 to 976 of the family's 1831-position model. The record is from RNAcentral.
CAAUAGCGUAUAUUAAAGUUGUUGCGGUUAAAAAGCUCGUAGUUGGAUUUCUGCUGAGGACGACCGGUCCGCCCUCUGGGGGAGUAUCUGGCUCGGCCUUGGCAUCUUCUUGGGGAACGUAACUGCACUUGACUGUGUGGUGCGGUAUCCAGGACUUUUACUUUGAGGAAAUUAGAGUGUUUCAAGCAGGCGCACGCCUUGAAUACAUUAGCAUGGAAUAAUAAGAUAGGACCUUGGUUCUAUUUUGUUGGUUUCUAGAGCUGAGGUAAUGAUUAAUAGGGAUAGUUGGGGGCAUUCGUAUUUAACUGUCAGAGGUGGAAUUCUUGGAUUUGUUAAAGACGGACUACUGCGAAAGCAUUUGCCAAGGAUGUUUUCAUUGA